AUUGAACGCUGGCGGCAUGCCUUACACAUGCAAGUCGAACGGCAGCACGGGAGCAAUCCUGGUGGCGAGUGGCGAACGGGUGAGUAAUAUAUCGGAACGUGCCCGGUCGUGGGGAUAACGUAGCGAAAGCUACGCUAAUACCGCAUACGAUCUACGGAUGAAAGCGGGGGAUCGCAAGACCUCGCGCGAUUGGAGCGGCCGAUAUCAGAUUAGGUAGUUGGUGAGGUAAAGGCUCACCAAGCCGACGAUCUGUAGCUGGUCUGAGAGGACGACCAGCCACACUGGGACUGAGACACGGCCCAGACUCCUACGGGAGGCAGCAGUGGGGAAUUUUGGACAAUGGGCGCAAGCCUGAUCCAGCAAUGCCGCGUGCAGGAUGAGGGCCU
This 386-nucleotide ribosomal RNA is filed under the name uncultured bacterium. Its description in RNAcentral is "bacterial SSU rRNA". It matches the Rfam family "Bacterial small subunit ribosomal RNA", at positions 29 to 417 of the family's 1533-position model. The record is from RNAcentral.